CCUACGGGAGGCAGCAGUGGGGAAUUUUGGACAAUGGGCGAAAGCCUGAUCCAGCAAUGCCGCGUGAGUGAAGAAGGCCUUCGGGUUGUAAAGCUCUUUUGUCAGGGAAGAAACGGUGUGGGCUAAUAUCCUGCACUAAUGACGGUACCUGAAGAAUAAGCACCGGCUAACUACGUGCCAGCAGCCGCGGUAAUACGUAGGGUGCAAGCGUUAAUCGGAAUUACUGGGCGUAAAGCGUGCGCAGGCGGUUUUGUAAGUCUGUCGUGAAAUCCCCGGGCUCAACCUGGGAAUUGCGAUGGAGACUGCAAGGCUAGAAUCUGGCAGAGGGGGGUAGAAUUCCACGUGUAGCAGUGAAAUGCGUAGAGAUGUGGAGGAACACCGAUGGCGAAGGCAGCCCCCUGGGUCAAGAUUGACGCUCAUGCACGAAAGCGUGGGGAGCAAACAGGAUUAGAUACCCUGGUAGUCCACGCCCUAAACGAUGUCUACUAGUUGUCGGGUUUUAAUAACUUGGUAACGCAGCUAACGCGUGAAGUAGACCGCCUGGGGGAGUACGGUCGCGAGAUAAACGUACGAAGAAGUAGAGNGNGNGAGNGCGACGACGACGACGAGGAGAGG
Molecule: ribosomal RNA, 615 nt
Filed under: uncultured bacterium
Lineage: Bacteria
Description: bacterial SSU rRNA
Rfam family: Bacterial small subunit ribosomal RNA (bases 1-541)
Source: RNAcentral